GAUGAACGCUGGCGGCGUGCCUAAUACAUGCAAGUCGAGCGAACGGACGAGAAGCUUGCUUCUCUGAUGUUAGCGGCGGACGGGUGAGUAACACGUGGAUAACCUACCUAUAAGACUGGGAUAACUUCGGGAAACCGGAGCUAAUACUGGAUAAUAUUUUGAACCGCAUGGUUCAAAAGUGAAAGACGGUUUUGCUGACACUUAUAGAUGGAGCCGCGCUGCAUUAGCUAGUUGGUAAGGUAACGGCUUACCAAGGCAACGAUGCAUAGCCGACCUGAGAGGGUGAUCGGCCACACUGGAACUGAGACACGGUCCAGACUCCUACGGGAGGCAGCAGUAGGGAAUCUUCCGCAAUGGGCGAAAGCCUGACGGAGCAACGCCGCGUGAGUGAUGAAGGUCUUCGGAUCGUAAAACUCUGUUAUUAGGGAAGAACAUAUGUGUAAGUAACUGUGCACAUCUUGACGGUACCUAAUCAGAAAGCCACGGCUAACUACGUG
This 497-nucleotide ribosomal RNA is filed under the name uncultured bacterium. RNAcentral's name for it is "partial 16S ribosomal RNA". It matches the Rfam family "Bacterial small subunit ribosomal RNA", at positions 28 to 507 of the family's 1533-position model. The record is from RNAcentral.